UGAGUUUCAUUUAUUGCAUAUUGAUCCCUAGCUCCUUCUUUAUAUACUACUACGUUGAGCACCUUGUUAAUUGCAAGUUUGCAACAACAACAAACGAAGAGAAAGAGGUAUAUGUUUUUUUUAAUGGUUAUAUUUUCAUAUUUAAUUUCUAUAUUUCUCAAUGCAUGUGUGUGUAUCUCUACGUUGAAAUUGUUCUAUUCAGUACUUCAUGCAUAACAAUAUAUACAUGAACACUAAUUAACAUUGCAAACUUUCUUAUUGAUAUAAACACAUGCAUGCAGGAUCAUUGAAGGAGAGAAAGAAAGAAAUGACUCGCAAACAGAAUUUUUUCAUGGCAAUCUUGAUUGCAGUUCUUUUAUUCUCAAAUGGUAUGUAGACAUGUAGUCAUGUAGAUGUAUAUAAUUAGAAGAAAAAAAAAAGGUUUGAUUCAUUUAUUAAUUAUUUUCUUUAUAUCCAUAUUAAUUAUGUACACUAAUUAAUUUUACUCUUGUAAUUAGGUAUGCGCAAAACUGAAGGUGAAUCAAUAAGUCUUACUUGNNNNNNNNNNNNNNNNNNNNNNNCCCUGCUAGUGCAGUGGCGUGUGUGUGCUCGUUUGCCUUUAAUCCGGAUAUCUCUUGUGUCCGGAUUAUGACUUAAUAAUAUAUUUAGUAGUUUGGCGUGUGGGUCAUUGUAUUCGCCAGUUGUUUAGGCUUGUAUUUUCUUUUAUAUAUCCUCUUCUUUGGUACUUCAUGUACGAUUGUUGAGGUUGAUUAAUAAAAUUUUAUAAAUUAAAAAUAAAAAAAUUAGUAGUUUUAAAAAAAGUAAGAAAUAAGAUACUACGGAUCAUGAAUAUUUAAGCUUCAUUGGUACUAUGAAAACAUGAUACUAGAUAUACUAUUGUC
RNAcentral lists this long non-coding RNA (881 nucleotides) under Trifolium pratense (red clover). RNAcentral describes it as "long non-coding RNA (TPRA_LNC008327)". Lineage: Eukaryota; Viridiplantae; Streptophyta; Magnoliopsida; Fabales; Fabaceae. The record is from RNAcentral.